GAGCCCAGAGCCUGAAUCAGUGUGUGUGUUAGUGGAAGCGUCUGGAAAGGCGCGCGAUACAGGGUGACAGCCCCGUACACAAAAAUGCACAUGCUGUGAGCUCGAUGAGUAGGGCGGGACACGUGGUAUCCUGUCUGAAUAUGGGGGGACCAUCCUCCAAGGCUAAAUACUCCUGACUGACCGAUAGUGAACCAGUACCGUGAGGGAAAGGCGAAAAGAACCCCGGCGAGGGGAGUGAAAAAGAACCUGAAACCGUGUACGUACAAGCAGUGGGAGCACAGAGCAAUCUGUGUGACUGCGUACCUUUUGUAUAAUGGGUCAGCGACUUAUAUUCUGUAGCAAGGUUAACCGAAUAGGGGAGCCGAAGGGAAACCGAGUCUUAACUGGGCGUUAAGUUGCAGGGUAUAGACCCGAAACCCGGUGAUCUAGCCAUGGGCAGGUUGAAGGUUGGGUAACACUAACUGGAGGACCGAACCGACUAAUGUUGAAAAAUUAGCGGAUGACUUGUGGCUGGGGGUGAAAGGCCAAUCAAACCGGGAGAUAGCUGGUUCUCCCCGAAAGCUAUUUAGGUAGCGCCUCGUGAAUUCAUCUCCGGGGGUAGAGCACUGUUUCGGCAAGGGGGUCAUCCCGACUUACCAACCCGAUGCAAACUGCGAAUACCGGAGAAUGUUAUCACGGGAGACACACGGCGGGUGCUAACGUCCGUCGUGAAGAGGGAAACAACCCAGACCGCCAGCUAAGGUCCCAAAGUCAUGGUUAAGUGGGAAACGAUGUGGGAAGGCCCAGACAGCCAGGAUGUUGGCUUAGAAGCAGCCAUCAUUUAAAGAAAGCGUAAUAGCUCACUGGUCGAGUCGGCCUGCGCGGAAGAUGUAACGGGGCUAAACCAUGCACCGAAGCUGCGGCAGCGACACUGUGUGUUGUUGGGUAGGGGAGCGUUCUGUAAGCCUGUGAAGGUGUGCUGUGAGGCAUGCUGGAGGUAUCAGAAGUGCGAAUGCUGACAUAAGUAACGAUAAAGCGGGUGAAAAGCCCGCUCGCCGGAAGACCAAGGGUUCCUGUCCAACGUUAAUCGGGGCAGGGUGAGUCGACCCCUAAGGCGAGGCCGAAAGGCGUAGUCGAUGGGAAACAGGUUAAUAUUCCUGUACUUGGUGUUACUGCGAAGGGGGGACGGAGAAGGCUAUGUUGGCCGGGCGACGGUUGUCCCGGUUUAAGCGUGUAGGCUGGUUUUCCAGGCAAAUCCGGAAAAUCAAGGCUGAGGCGUGAUGACGAGGCACUACGGUGCUGAAGCAACAAAUGCCCUGCUUCCAGGAAAAGCCUCUAAGCAUCAGGUAACAUCAAAUCGUACCCCAAACCGACACAGGUGGUCAGGUAGAGAAUACCAAGGCGCUUGAGAGAACUCGGGUGAAGGAACUAGGCAAAAUGGUGCCGUAACUUCGGGAGAAGGCACGCUGAUAUGUAGGUGAAGUCCCUCGCGGAUGGAGCUGAAAUCAGUCGAAGAUACCAGCUGGCUGCAACUGUUUAUUAAAAACACAGCACUGUGCAAACACGAAAGUGGACGUAUACGGUGUGACGCCUGCCCGGUGCCGGAAGGUUAAUUGAUGGGGUCAGCGCAAGCGAAGCUCUUGAUCGAAGCCCCGGUAAACGGCGGCCGUAACUAUAACGGUCCUAAGGUAGCGAAAUUCCUUGUCGGGUAAGUUCCGACCUGCACGAAUGGCGUAAUGAUGGCCAGGCUGUCUCCACCCGAGACUCAGUGAAAUUGAACUCGCUGUGAAGAUGCAGUGUACCCGCGGCAAGACGGAAAGACCCCGUGAACCUUUACUAUAGCUUGACACUGAACAUUGAGCCUUGAUGUGUAGGAUAGGUGGGAGGCUUUGAAGUGUGGACGCCAGUCUGCAUGGAGCCGACCUUGAAAUACCACCCUUUAAUGUUUGAUGUUCUAACGUGGACCCGUGAUCCGGGUUGCGGACAGUGUCUGGUGGGUAGUUUGACUGGGGCGGUCUCCUCCUAAAGAGUAACGGAGGAGCACGAAGGUUGGCUAAUCCUGGUCGGACAUCAGGAGGUUAGUGCAAUGGCAUAAGCCAGCUUGACUGCGAGCGUGACGGCGCGAGCAGGUGCGAAAGCAGGUCAUAGUGAUCCGGUGGUUCUGAAUGGAAGGGCCAUCGCUCAACGGAUAAAAGGUACUCCGGGGAUAACAGGCUGAUACCGCCCAAGAGUUCAUAUCGACGGCGGUGUUUGGCACCUCGAUGUCGGCUCAUCACAUCCUGGGGCUGAAGUAGGUCCCAAGGGUAUGGCUGUUCGCCAUUUAAAGUGGUACGCGAGCUGGGUUUAGAACGUCGUGAGACAGUUCGGUCCCUAUCUGCCGUGGGCGCUGGAGAACUGAGGGGGGCUGCUCCUAGUACGAGAGGACCGGAGUGGACGCAUCACUGGUGUUCGGGUUGUCAUGCCAAUGGCACUGCCCGGUAGCUAAAUGCGGAAGAGAUAAGUGCUGAAAGCAUCUAAGCACGAAACUUGCCCCGAGAUGAGUUCUCCCUGACCCUUUAAGGGUCCUGAAGGAACGUUGAAGACGACGACGUUGAUAGGCCGGGUGUGUAAGCGCAGCGAUGCGUUGAGCUAACCGGUACUAAUGAACCGUGAGGCUUAACCUUACAACGCCGAAGGUGUUU
This 2660-nucleotide ribosomal RNA is filed under the name Escherichia coli. RNAcentral describes it as "partial 23S ribosomal RNA". It matches the Rfam family "Bacterial large subunit ribosomal RNA", at positions 295 to 2925 of the family's 2925-position model. The record is from RNAcentral. Lineage: Bacteria; Pseudomonadati; Pseudomonadota; Gammaproteobacteria; Enterobacterales; Enterobacteriaceae.